CAUUUAGGACUAGAUGUUGGAAUUAGACAGAAAAAAUUAGACACAAACAUUGUGUCUAAUUCCAACAUCUAGUCCUAUAUG
Aotus nancymaae (Ma's night monkey) is the source of this 81-nucleotide microRNA precursor. The record is from Ensembl. Lineage: Eukaryota; Metazoa; Chordata; Mammalia; Primates; Aotidae.